Long non-coding RNA from Cotesia glomerata, 698 nucleotides. RefSeq lists it as uncharacterized. The record is from RefSeq and is a predicted model, not a curated record. NCBI's taxonomy places the organism in Eukaryota, Metazoa, Arthropoda, Insecta, Hymenoptera, Braconidae. The transcript has 3 exons.
UAUUUGAGAUGAUAUUUAUCCACGUAAUUAGUAUGUGUCCCAGAUAAUUGUUUAAUAUUUAUGCCACUGUGUGUAUAACAAUGUUUUUUAAAAAAAUAAGCACAUGUGUAUUGAUAUUGAUAUUAAUUCUGUUAAUGGAGAGUCUAAGUGUCACAUCUCACGUCGUCUGACACAUUAUACGUGACUAGGUCGUGAAGACAUUUAUUAGUUAAGGAAAUUUUGAUGCAUCAUGUAGAGUACAUACAACGAGAAAAGCUAACCAGGGUGAAGUGUGUAUUACCGGAUGUGAGUUGAUGCUUUCCGAAUACAGACAAGAUAUAUUAGGACGGGUGUCAUCUUUAUGAGUGAGUAAACAAAGUAAUUAGCGGACUGAUAAGAUACUUGUCGGCUGGCUGGUUAAGUAGUUUUAUUUUAUUUGUAGAUAUACAGCAUGGAAACGUCGUGAUCAGGCGGUGGGUUACCAAUACAAGACACGUUGUGUCACUAAAAUUGUUGGUACGACCUAUCGUUAAAACUUUCGCUGUGCUGGAACAGCUCAGAGUUUUAGUACCGAUAACAAAAUCAACAUAGAAGUUUAUAAUUGCAGUAAUAAUUUAUUUUCUGUAAUGUAAUUGCGGAAAAAUAUUUGCUGCUUUGUAUUUUACAAGUUUUAAAAAGGAGUUUUAUUUCUUCACUGAGAAAAAAAAUUUAUUUUUAGA